Molecule: long non-coding RNA, 231 nt
Filed under: Nicotiana benthamiana
Lineage: Eukaryota; Viridiplantae; Streptophyta; Magnoliopsida; Solanales; Solanaceae
Description: long non-coding RNA (NBEN_LNC001210)
Source: RNAcentral
AUGGAUGUCACUCUUCACGGCUUCUUCUUGACCUUCAGUUUUCUCCUCGGCUUUGCUUGCCUCUAGAUUAGCAUCAUCAGCUUCCUUUCGAUCCUUCUCUUCCUUCUCUCUCUUUAACCGUUCUUUCUCCUCAGCCUUUUCUAUUUGUUCUUUUUUAUCUAGAUCAACAGAAGUGAACUUAUAAGAAAUGACUAAAAGCAAAUCAAUUGCUUGUAAGGUAUGACCUCGCUA